This 2244-nucleotide ribosomal RNA is filed under the name Kuvera huoditangensis. Its description in RNAcentral is "partial large subunit ribosomal RNA". It matches the Rfam family "Eukaryotic large subunit ribosomal RNA", at positions 1291 to 2806 of the family's 3401-position model. Lineage: Eukaryota; Metazoa; Arthropoda; Insecta; Hemiptera; Cixiidae. The record is from RNAcentral.
ANACUGCCGAACAACUAGCCCUGAAAAUGGAUGGCGCUAAAGCGUCGUGCCUAUACCGGGCCGUCAACGGCAUAGUUGGCCUCUGCCUUCGGGCAAGAGCCGUUACGUCUUGACGAGUAGGAGGGUCGCGGCGGUGUGCGCAGAAGGGUCUGGGCGUGAGCCUGCCUGGAGCCGCCGUCGGCGCAGAUCUUGGUGGUAGUAGCAAAUACUCUAGAGAGGGCCUGGAGAGCCGAUGUGGAGAAGGGUUUCUUGUGAACAGCCGUUGUACAAGAGUAAGUCGAUCCUAAGUGCUAGGAGAAAUCCGAUGUUGAUGGUCUGGCUGUCGACUUCUAUUCUCAACACUUAGAAAACGCUUUAGGCUUCAGGGCCGUAAAAGCGUAGGCUUUAUCUCAUACCAUACACCUAGUGUGGAUUGCCCUGACGUGUUUUCCGGUGGGCUGUACGUUACACGCUUCAGCCUGUACGGACUCUUUUUCGCGUCAGGGUAGCCCAGGUUCUAUGACACGAGUGUGGUGUCUUGCUAGCUGGACCGAAGGUGUUGGAACUAGCCUUGGAGCUUUGGUGCUCCUGACGUGUUUUCCGGUGGGCUGUAUGUUACACGCUUCAGCCUGUACGGACUCUUUUUCGCGUCAGGGUAGCCCAGGUUCUAUGACACGAGUGUGGUGUCUUGCUAGCUGCACCGAAGGUGUUGGAACUAGCCUUGGAGCUUUUGGUUGAGAGAAGGCGAUGUGUUAUCCUUAGCCCGUUGAAGGGCGAAAGGGAAUCCGGUCAACAUUCCGGAACCCGGCUGCGUAAACCGCUCUCUGUUGGCGUAAGCCGGCGAGCGCUUUGUUGGGGUAACCCAAGCUGUCCCGGAGACUCUGGCGGGGGGUCUGGGAAGAGUUUUCUUUUCUUUUUAAGCGUUCGUGGACCCUGGAAUUCUAUAGCAGAGAGGAUAGGGUUUGGAACGCGAAAAACAUCGCAGUUGCGGCGGUGACCGGACUUCCCCCCCGGACCUUGAAAAUCUGGGUGAGAGCGACGCGGUGAUCGCGCCGGUUCGUAUCCAUAUCCGCAUCUGGUCUCCAAGGUUCAAAGCCUCUUGGCGAUAGAAUAAUGAAGGUAAGGGAAGCGGCAAAUUGGAUCCGUAACUUCGGGACAAGGAUUGGCUCUGAGGAUCGGGGCGUGUCGGGCUUGGUCGGGAAGCGGGUCAGUGCCAACGUGCCGGGCCUGGGCGAGUGUUGUGUUGGUAUUCUCGGCAGCAAUGUCGAGUUUCCCACGAUCCGAACCCGGUCCCGUGCCACUUGGCCUCCCGCGGAUCUUCCUUGCUGCGGGUUUUCGACCAAGCAGACCAGGCUGGGCCGCUUCAGGCCCGCUUGGACGGCUUCGAAUCAAUCCCUUCGGCCGCCAUUCAACGGUCAACUCAGAACUGGCACGGACAAGGAGAAUCCGACUGCCUAAUUAAAGCAAAGCAUUGCGAGGGCUCUAGCCGAGUGCUUACGCAAUGUGAUUUCUGCCCAGUGCUCUGAAUGUCAACGUGUAGAAAUUCAAGCAAGCGCGGGUAAACGGCGGGAGUAACUAUGACUCUCUUAAGGUAGCCAAAUGCCUCGUCAUCCAAUUAGUGACGCGCAUGAAUGGAUUAACGAGAUUCUCACUGUCCCUAUCUACUAUCUAGCGAAACCACAGCCAAGGGAACGGGCUUGGAAACAUUAGCGGGGAAAGAAGACCCUGUUGAGCUUGACUCUAGUCUGGCACUGUAAGGAGACAUGAGAGGUGUAGCAUAAGUGGGAGAAGGUGGGCUUUAUGCCUGUCCUUCGACGGUGAAAUACCACUACUUUCAUCGUUUCUUUACUUACUCGGAUAGGCGGAGAGCGUGUCCGUCGAGGGUUCAGCCCACGCGGACCGGUGUUCUCGCGCCAAGCGUCCGGGUUGCCGGCAAGCGCCCGUCAGGCUUGGGUGUGUCUUUGAUUUGUCACCGCAAGGUGGCGGUCACUGCUCACGUCCCUCGCCUUGGCUGGGCGCCGUCGACCGGCAAAUACUCCCACGCGUGAUCCGAUUCGAGGACACAGCCAGGCGGGGAGUUUGACUGGGGCGGUACAUCUGUCAAAUGAUAACGCAGGUGUCCUAAGGCCAGCUCAGCGAGGACAGAAACCUCGCGUAGAGCAAAAGGGCAAAUGCUGGUUUGAUCCCGAUGUCCAGUAGGCAUAGGGACUGCGAAAGCAGGGCCUGUCGAUCCUUUUGGCUUGAAGAGAUUUCAGCAAGAGGUGU